ACUGUGUGAAUUAAUGUGAACUGCAUACUGCUUUGAACAUCGACAUCUUGAACGCAUAUUGCGGCCACGGGUUAGCCUGUGGCCACGCCUGUCCGAGGGUCGGCUUAUAAACUAUCACGACGCUCAAUUAGUCGUGGCUUGGAAUACUGCCAGCUGGUACACAUCCCCNUUGUGAGCUUGUGUGGGGUACCAGAUCUAUGGCUUAUUCUUAAUGUAUCCGGUUGCACCGUAUGUCUGUGUAGUGCUGACGUUAGGUUGCAGCGGCGGAGUCGUGGCUCAGUUCACUUCAUUUGCUUUUUAUAGCACGCUCCGCUGUUGUGGCUUAGCAUGAGGUAUUAUGCAGUUGUACGAGUUGCAGCUAGGUCAUAUCUGCUGACCAAAAAGUGUACAUCUNUACGCUUCCUGACCUCGGAUCAGACGUGAAUACCCGCUGAA
RNAcentral lists this ribosomal RNA (435 nucleotides) under Gymnophallus choledochus. RNAcentral describes it as "eukaryotic LSU rRNA". The stretch from base 1 to 102 matches the Rfam family "5.8S ribosomal RNA", at positions 52 to 154 of the family's 154-position model. The record is from RNAcentral. Lineage: Eukaryota; Metazoa; Platyhelminthes; Trematoda; Gymnophallidae.